This 554-nucleotide small RNA is filed under the name Pongo abelii (Sumatran orangutan). RNAcentral's name for it is "processed transcript". Lineage: Eukaryota; Metazoa; Chordata; Mammalia; Primates; Hominidae. The record is from RNAcentral.
GAUGUCAUGGCUCCGUCUUAAAGGGGACGCGGGUGGCAGAAAGUGGAGCUGGGCUGAUGUGCGGGAGCGGCCGGAGUCUGUGGAGCUGGAAAUUCACCGGUCCAGGAAGACGUCUUUCCUGCGUCCCAGCACCUUGGGCCACGCUCCUUGGUGAGAGCGCCCUCUCCAAGGAGGCUGGCCCUGGAUAUUUCACCCAAAAUAUUUAUUUUUUCUUUUUUUCUAGGGUCUCACCUUGUUGCCCAAGCUGGAGUGCAGUUGCCUGAUCUCAGCUCACUGCAACCUCCACCUCCCAGGCUCAAGCUAUCCUCCUGCCUCAGCCUUCCGAGUAGCUGGGACCACAGGUGUGCACCAUCAUGCCCAGAUGAAAUUCUGCUGCAAGUGUUUUCCAAGGUUCCGUAUGACCCAUCAUUUGAUGAAACAAGAACAGCAGUCAGAUCCAUUACAAAGAGAGACACACAAAAAAACUAUGUGAAAAUGAGCUUAGCCCCUGGUGUUGUGUUGGAACUUCAGAUGCUUGCAGACACUUCGUGAAUGCUCUGUGACACUCAGAAUAG